RNAcentral lists this unclassified non-coding RNA (268 nucleotides) under Hevea brasiliensis (rubber tree). Lineage: Eukaryota; Viridiplantae; Streptophyta; Magnoliopsida; Malpighiales; Euphorbiaceae. The record is from RNAcentral.
AUGAAGCAUACCAGGUUUACUUCCUGAUUCUAUCAUAUGUAGAAGUAGUGGGUAAACUAAUAUGUUCUAUGCCAAUUAUAAAAGGGAUGGAAGUAUAAGAUAUAACUAGAAGUUAAAACGUCCAUCUUUGCCGAUGGUUAUGGGACAUUUUAUGUGCUUGUACUGACUGUUAGUCAGAUAGUUGGGGGGCUAUUGGGAUUAGGUAAAAUGACAGUAGUGCGUGUACUGUUUUUGUGGUUCAAUCUAAUAGAAAUAAACGUCUUCUCUA